This 2627-nucleotide long non-coding RNA is filed under the name Homo sapiens (human). RNAcentral describes it as "HSALNT0026880". The record is from RNAcentral. Lineage: Eukaryota; Metazoa; Chordata; Mammalia; Primates; Hominidae.
CAGGGAUUCAGGAACAAGGAAACAAGCCCUCCACUGCUGGGAGAGGCGUGGGGAAAACUGAAACAGGGGAACUCUCGGAAGAAAUGACAACCUGUUCCUCCUGCCUUUUGGGAUCUUGCGAUGUGGGCCCGGAUUUGCUUUAUAUCAUUUUCUUGUUGUUCCAUGUCACGUGGAAGAAUGCCUUGGAGGAGGCUGUCUGCAAACACUGGCAGUAUUCUUAGAGGAAGCUUGGGUUUGGGGCCUAGACACAUCCAGUCUCCAUGAAACGAUGAGAACAGCUGUCCUGAAAUGACAGAGCAAGAAACCUGCGCAGCAACAGCCUCAGAGAGGCCCCUUAAUAUACCUUCUCUACUAUGAAAAAUCAGAUUUUGUGAACAAUUUGGCAUGAGGAGAGAAAGGAACCUGAAGUUUUUAGCAAGGAAGGGCCCUGAUGAUGGUUGCCUUCAACAUUGCCUCAAUACUCAACAUCCAAGACAGCCCUGGCUUAGCAACUGGAAUCACGGAUGGGGAAAAUUUUUUCUCAAGCACAUGUGAAAUUUGGCUGUCAGACCACCUUCAUCUGCACAGAAAGCUAAAUGUAUUGCCUAGUUUUGCAACUUCAUAUGACUGUUCGCCAAACUGGAAUAAUUGUUGCAUUUGUGUGUGACUUCUCAGUAUUCCUAUGGCAUUACCACCAUAGCACCCCUAUGUCAAAUGGUGAAAGAAUUAGGUGAGGUUUUGUGAACGUUUAGAGUAACUUUGUUUUUUUGCAUCAACAUUCAAGAAGCACUCCUUCCCUUCCACUGCAGUAGAACCUUGAGGUCCCUCUCAGAUUUCUGUGGGGUGUCUGUGGUCUGCUGGAGCAUGGCCAGGUCUGGGCAGCUGUCACUUUCCUUCUGCUUCCCAGUACAGAGGCCUAUCUGGUGCUCAGAAAAGCUUCCUAAGUAAGAAUGCAGGUGUCUCACAUUAAGAAGGGAACCUUCUGUCCAUCUCCAGCUUAAGUAUCAACGUAUCCAGCAGCCUCAAGUCUAUCCAAACCUUAUUCAUUUUUCCCCACUUUGUUUUCAUAAUUUGACCACAGAACUGAGCGUCAAGUAUAUAUGAACCCAAGUUGUUUGUUCUCUUGUAGUUUGUUUUAGUGUUGUUCUUUCAGAUUAUAAUCUCAGGGCAGGAGUUCUGUCAAAAUUCUCACUUGAUCUUAAAAAGCCAAUUACAGGGCAAGAUGAAAAGUGGCUUCUUAGUAAACAUUUGCUAGCUUGAUACCUGACUCCACUCCUGCCUAUUAAAAGCAUUUCGCUUGAAAGUAUGCAAUGGUUAGAAGCAUCUAGAAAGUCGAGGUCUGAUGAUUUCACACACAUAUUUUGGGGUGCUAAAUUAAAGCUCUCCUUUGUAAAACAGUGCAUGAUGUCUUGGUGCUCUCAGGAUUGAAUGGUGAACAUACUGGCAGAGGCAAUUUCAGAUCCAAGUGAAAGACAGUUUUCACCUGGUGGUAAGGGUAGAUGUGUACUGAAACAACAAUCUAGGGCCGUCUUCUUUGUACCACAAGCUUAAUAAUUUGUAUGGCUAUGCUGUCUUCUUAGCUGCUUGCUGGUGGUGAAAAUCAGUUAUUUUCACUGGCUGAUUGACAGUUGGCCAGCACUGACCCUUCUGAAGACCUGUAUUUAUUUCUUGGAGGGGGUACCCUUGGUUUUAUUUUAUUCCUUUUGCGCCCUCACCCUACUUCAUGCCUUGCUGGGAAUAGGAACAGUGGUGCAGACUUAAGAGAAGAGGCCAAGGAAGAGCAAGUGAAAUCUGCUGGUCACCGUAGAUUUAAGCCCUUAGGAGACAGGGUUGUGUUUCUCCUCCUGGCAGAGUUGCAAUGAGACAAUGUCUAUCAAAUACAAGAAGAGUGGCUGAGUUCAAGGAGGGGUAGAAAUCUGUCAAUGAAAAAUUCUAUAUCACAUUGAAGUUUGGUCAUAGAAGGUAGCUUCUGGUGUUCUGCCCCCUAACCAUGGCAUGCCAUGAUUUAGUCCGUAAUGGACACAGCUUAGUGGAGUUUGUUUCAUCUCCAAACUUCACUCAUUGUUUAAAGAUACUGGCUAGGUGUCAGCACAGCCUGGGCCAGGGAGAGACGAUGGCCCAUUAGUCAUCAUCUGUCAUGCCUAUGGACUGUAGGGACCAGAGCAUUUACACUCAGAAUCACAGAGAUAAUUAGCACAUUGAUGUCAUUGUUCCUAACCACUGAGGCCAUUGAUCCUGUCCCCAGCCUGACUUGAAGGUCUUUGGGAGUUCAGCCAGCCUCCCAACCUGCCUACCACUUUGUUCUAAGAAUCCUACUCAACAGUGGCUUGCAUUUUCUGCUUCUAAGUGGCUUUGCGAUUAUGUAGAAAUUCAUGACGUGAUUUUGUCCUGAUUGAAUAAAGUGCAUCACUUGGUAUAAGGCCUGUGUCUGCCUAUUCCAUUUGAGCUGUAUAUUUUUCAAUGAAGUGGGAUUGUGGUCUCAAUUCAAAUUUUUUUUUUCUAUUGCUUCUACUGCACCAUGAUGGAGCUAAAGAGAAAUGCCUCAUUCAUGAUUAUCAGCUAUGCAAAGAAUGUUCCUUGUGAUGUCUAUGCUAAGCUAGGUUUAGAAGGAAAGAGUAAAAUUUUCCUCAUGGUCUCUCCUUCCUCAG